Molecule: long non-coding RNA, 572 nt
Filed under: Numida meleagris (helmeted guineafowl)
Lineage: Eukaryota; Metazoa; Chordata; Aves; Galliformes; Numididae
Description: lncRNA (ENSNMEG00000021524.1)
Source: RNAcentral
UGGUAGCCCAUUUAUAGGCUUAAUGUGGAAUUUGUCUCGUUCUGUCAACAUCUCUGGAUUUUUGUCAUCUCUGGAGGCAUGCUUUCACAUGUUGGCCACAGUGAGUGGAGGAACUGCACAAGAGACCCACAAACACAGGUGGACAGCUCUGUGAGUUCAUGAGGCAGUCACUUCACAAGAACAUGUAAGCCGUCCCGACUGCCUUCCAACAUCCAUACAGCACAUGUCUGUGUGCAGCGCAGCUUUAAAUUGGCGUGGGAUUUAAAGGUGCAAGUCUGUGGAAGUUUUACUUUUGAGGUUAUUACUGUGGCUAUGUUGCAGCACUCUGAUUGCACCUAUCUGUCUGCGCUGUUAUGCUGACAGCGCUAACAAAGCACGCCCGGCUACCAGGCUGGAACACCCCUUGUAAACACGGCCUUGCCACACGCUGAGCUGGGAGGUGCAGGCCAGUGUCCUGAAUCACACCUACACAAGCUUUCUCCAACAGCGGGUAUCGAUCUAGUUUUACUUGAAAAGAAAGUUCAGGAAACAAACAAUACCUUCAGAAACAUAUGGCUGAGGUGAGAAUAAUA